CUUCAUCACUGACACACACAACAAUCUUCAUCAACAUGACCUUCAUCAUCAUCUUCAUCUGGACUCUCACAGCGUUUGCUCAAGAGUGUAGAGGACAGAUCACCGUCACUCAGAGUCCCUCAACGACAGCAGCUCGACCAGAAGAAACAGUCAAAAUCAACUGUAAAACCAGCACAGAUGUUCACUCUGUUGCAGGAGGGUUUGCAUUUAUAACUACUUCAAUUACUUACUUUUUUAGCUGGUACUUACACAAACCUGGAGAAGCUCCUAAACGCCUGAUAUAUAGUACAACAGACCGUCACAGUGGAACUCCAUCUAGAUUCAGUGGCAAGAGUUCAUCUGCAAGAGAUUUCACUCUGACCAUCAGUGGAGUCCAGACUGAAGAUGCUGGACAUUAUUACUGUCAGAGUUACCACAUCAGUGGUGGUAAAGCUGUGUUCACACAGUGAUAAAGAGUCGUACAAAAACCUCCGUCAGUCAGAGUCACAGAGACUGAACUGAUCCUGCAGCUGCUCAAACACUAUCACUCACUACUGACACACAGAGACAAACACAGCAACUACACAUGAGCUCAGAACUGAGUUAGGAGUCAAAUCAGCUCCAUUAGACUGAGAUCUGUCCUGUGACAGACGGGUUUGACUCAGAAUCAGAGAAAACAGUAUGUAAACUGAUAUCAAACAGACAAUAAUGGCACCAUAUGUUGUUUUGUUUUUGUAAGUUAAUGUACAUUACACUGUAAAAUCAUUGUGUAUCAGCAGUAACAAAGAUGUUGUGAACCUUUUUCAAGAAAUUGCUUAAUCUCAAGCUGAUAAUGAAUUUAUUACUCCUCCUCUGCACCAAUCAGAAGGCUGCAGUGAUGAUUAUGAUCAGCUGUGAUGUUGAGUUUAAUGCUGCAUUCACGUGCUAUCAGAAUUAUCAUAAAACAAGCUUCCUAGUCGGAAAUUGGACAUGAAUGGCCUUAGAGAGACCUUAUAUGGCCAAUUUCGGCCUAGGAAACUCGUAUUUACAAUAAUUCUGAUAGCACGUGAAUGCAGCAUUAAUUGCAGUGUUCUGUGAUGAGCAGCAGAGUUUUGAAGUAUACUAUAUAUAGCUAUAGCUGCUGUCAGGCUGUUGAAUGUGUUUCUCUCUUGAGUCUUGAUUAUUGUUCAUUGUCUUUUUUUUUUUCUUUUGUCUGAAUGUUUUGCUUUUCCGGGUUUGAGUCUGUUGUGACUCAGAAUCAAACACUCAUGUAGUUGGUUUUGUGUGACUAAUUGAGUUACAUUUCUUUUUGGUUUUCUUUAGCAGUGCAUUGUUGUUGAAUUCUGAAAAACAGUCAUUAACAGCCACAUGUUCUUGUUUCAUCAUGAAUCUGCAGAUGUUUUCAUGCUCCAGUGAGUGGUUUAUUUAUUAAAUGUGAGCUGAAGCUUUGAUCCAAUAAAAGACCUGAAAUGAA
This is a non-coding RNA of Onychostoma macrolepis, 1432 nucleotides long. The record is from the annotation of a RefSeq genome assembly. Lineage: Eukaryota; Metazoa; Chordata; Actinopteri; Cypriniformes; Cyprinidae.